This 496-nucleotide ribosomal RNA is filed under the name uncultured bacterium. RNAcentral's name for it is "partial 16S ribosomal RNA". It matches the Rfam family "Bacterial small subunit ribosomal RNA", at positions 28 to 506 of the family's 1533-position model. The record is from RNAcentral.
GAUGAACGCUGGCGGCGUGCCUAAUACAUGCAAGUCGAGCGAACGGACGAGAAGCUUGCUUCUCUGAUGUUAGCGGCGGACGGGUGAGUAACACGUGGAUAACCUACCUAUAAGACUGGGAUAACUUCGGGAAACCGGAGCUAAUACCGGAUGAUAUUUUGAACCGCAUGGUUCAAAAGUGAAAGACGGUCUUGCUGUCACUUAUAGAUGGAUCCGCGCUGCAUUAGCUAGUUGGUAAGGUAACGGCUUACCAAGGCAACGAUGCAUAGCCGACCUGAGAGGGGGAUCGGCCACACUGGAACUGAGACACGGCCCAGACUCCUACGGGAGGCAGCAGUAGGGAAUCUUCCGCAAUGGGCGAAAGCCUGACGGAGCAACGCCGCGUGAGUGAUGAAGGUCUUCGGAUCGUAAAACUCUGUUAUUAGGGAAAAACAUAUGUGUAAGUAACUGUGCACAUCUUGACGGUACCUAAUCAGAAAGCCACGGCUAACUACGU